UGGGGAAUAUUGCACAAUGGGCGCAAGCCUGAUGCAGCGACGCCGCGUGGGGGAUGACGGCCUUCGGGUUGUAAACUCCUUUCGCUACCGACGAAGCCCCUUUGUGGUGACGGUAGGUGGAGAAGAAGCACCGGCUAACUACGUGCCAGCAGCCGCGGUAAUACGUAGGGUGCGAGCGUUGUCCGGAUUUACUGGGCGUAAAGAGCUCGUAGGUGGUUUGUCGCGUCGUCUGUGAAAUUCCGGGGCUUAACUCCGGGCGUGCAGGCGAUACGGGCAUAACUUGAGUGCUGUAGGGGUAACUGGAAUUCCUGGUGUAGCGGUGGAAUGCGCAGAUAUCAGGAGGAACACCGAUGGCGAAGGCAGGUUACUGGGCAGUUACUGACGCUGAGGAGCGAAAGCAUGGGUAGCGAACAGGAUUAGAUACCC
Molecule: ribosomal RNA, 426 nt
Filed under: uncultured bacterium
Lineage: Bacteria
Description: bacterial SSU rRNA
Rfam family: Bacterial small subunit ribosomal RNA
Source: RNAcentral